CCUACGGGGUGCACCAGUGGGGAAUAUUGGACAAUGGGCGAAAGCCUGAUCCAGCAAUGCCGCGUGUGUGGAGAAGGUCUUCGGAUUGUAAAGCACUUUCGACGGGGACGAUGAUGACGGUACCCGUAGAAGAAGCCCCGGCUAACUUCGUGCCAGCAGCCGCGGUAAUACGAAGGGGGCUAGCGUUGCUCGGAAUGACUGGGCGUAAAGGGCGCGUAGGCGGUUUAUGCAGUCAGAUGUGAAAUCCCCGGGCUUAACCUGGGAACUGCAUUUGAGACGCAUAGACUAGAGGUCGAGAGAGGGUUGUGGAAUUCCCAGUGUAGAGGUGAAAUUCGUAGAUAUUGGGAAGAACACUGGUGGCGAAGGCGGCAACCUGGCUUGAUACUGACGCUGAGGCGCGAAAGCGUGGGGAGCAAACAGGAUUAGAUACCCCUGUAG
Molecule: ribosomal RNA, 438 nt
Filed under: uncultured bacterium
Lineage: Bacteria
Description: bacterial SSU rRNA
Rfam family: Bacterial small subunit ribosomal RNA
Source: RNAcentral